RNAcentral lists this ribosomal RNA (45 nucleotides) under Albinaria percristata percristata. RNAcentral's name for it is "partial 28S ribosomal RNA". The record is from RNAcentral. Lineage: Eukaryota; Metazoa; Mollusca; Gastropoda; Stylommatophora; Clausiliidae.
UCCGACCUCAGAUCGGACGAGAUUACCCGCUGAAUUUAAGCAUAU